CUACGGGUUGCUGCAGUGGGGAAUCUUAGACAAUGGGGGAAACCCUGAUCUAGCCAUGCCGCGUGAGCGACGACGGCCCUAGGGUUGUAAAGCUCUUUCAGCAGGGAAGAUAAUGACGGUACCUGCAGAAGAAGUCCCGGCUAACUCCGUGCCAGCAGCCGCGGUAAUACGGAGGGGACUAGCGUUGUUCGGAAUUACUGGGCGUAAAGCGCGCGUAGGCGGUUUGUUAAGUCGGGGGUGAAAUCCCGGGGCUCAACCCCGGAACUGCCCUCGAUACUGGCAGUCUUGAGUUCGAGAGAGGUGAGUGGAAUUCCGGGUGUAGAGGUGAAAUUCGUAGAUAUUCGGAGGAACACCAGUGGCGAAGGCGGCUCACUGGCUCGAUACUGACGCUGAGGUGCGAAAGCGUGGGGAGCAAACAGGAUUAGAUACCCCCGUAGUC
This 439-nucleotide ribosomal RNA is filed under the name uncultured bacterium. Its description in RNAcentral is "partial 16S ribosomal RNA". It matches the Rfam family "Bacterial small subunit ribosomal RNA", at positions 339 to 795 of the family's 1533-position model. The record is from RNAcentral.